AAGAAAUAAAAAAAAAAUAUACUGCCUUUUUUUGACACGUAUACUCCCUCCCCAACAUACACAAACAAAAAUUAAGUAAACCUUACUGCAAAAGUAACAAAACAUAUUAAUACUCUCAUUCUCUAAACAAAACGUCGGCUUCCCUCCCCCCUCUCUCUCUACUGUAUUCUCCCACAAAUUGCAGCUACUAACAAAACGAAGUUCCAAAUUCACCUCCCUCUCUCUCGAUUUUUCUCACAAGAAAACGAAAACUCCCAAUUAAAGAGAAAGCCCCAAAACAGAAACCGUCGAUUCUCCGAUUCACCGUCGCCUUCCACCGUCGCCGGCCGCUGCUCACCGGGAAGACAAAUUGCGGUCGCCACGGUCCUGUCGGCGCCGUCGCGCGUCCAAAACUGCCGUCGUCUGCAGCCUCCCGUCGGUCAGCCUCUGCUGCAUCCGUUGCCACGACGCCGCUGCUGUCGUCACCGCAGGCUGCGGUCAGUUUGCCUUCGCCGUUGGGUUCGGUCAGCGCCCGUGCCCCGAAACCAACCCGAGAUUCUCGAUUUCAAACUUACAGUUAAGUUCUUACUUGUUUUGGUGAAAUUAAAGUUCGUUUCCUUUUUAUUUAAUUGUUCGAGCUACUGAUUUGAUUUAGUUACCGUUAUCGUAAGUUGCGUUGCUUACAUGGUAUGCACAGAAUGUGACUGAAAUUGAGGAAACAAGUGAUCAUAUACCUUGAACAGAUUUUGAGCGAAUACAUGAUCACGGAGGAGGAAAAUCUUUUCACGGAGGACGAUAAUCUUUACAAAAUCUUUAUUUAAUAUCUAAAUUAAUGUCUUGAUGAUCAAAUCAACAUGGAGAAUAUUAAAUUAGUUUAGUUUAAUUCACAUUACUUUGUAUUUUAUUUUAAAUUAUGCAGUCCAUAAUUUAUUUAUCACGGACUGGAUUUUUAUAUUAUUUAUUCCAUUUAUCUGAUCCAACUCGCGGAUUGAGUCCAAUA
Molecule: long non-coding RNA, 979 nt
Organism: Salvia splendens (bonfire salvia)
Lineage: Eukaryota; Viridiplantae; Streptophyta; Magnoliopsida; Lamiales; Lamiaceae
Exons: 2
Source: RefSeq, a predicted model, not a curated record